Molecule: unclassified non-coding RNA, 233 nt
Filed under: fungal sp.
Lineage: Eukaryota; Fungi
Description: partial contains small subunit ribosomal RNA, internal transcribed spacer 1, and 5.8S ribosomal RNA
Rfam family: Eukaryotic small subunit ribosomal RNA (bases 1-47)
Source: RNAcentral
AAAGUCGUAACAAGGUUUCCGUAGGUGAACCUGCGGAAGGAUCAUUACAAAUCUUUGUGGAUAGCUUGGUGUGCAUUAUUGUAUGCCAAGUUUGAAACACAUAUGCACAAGGCACGCGUAAAGCCCCUCUAGGUUUUAUGUGUUGCUUUGAUGUUCACGCUUGUUUGUUUGACAGAGUUAUGGUGGUAACAUUUAAAUAAAGACAACUUUUAACAAUGGAUCUCUUGGCUCUU